CUUGCGGCGUGCUACCAUGCAAGUCGAACGUGAUCCGCCCUUCGGGGUGGUGAAAGUGGCGCACGGGUGAGUAACGCGUGGAUAAUCUGCCCGAGGAUUUGGGAUAACAUCUCGAAAGGGGUGCUAAUACCGAAUAAGCCCACGGGGUCUACGGAUCUUGCGGGAAAAGGGGGGGACCUUCGGGCCUCCUGUCCUUGGAUGAGUCUGCGUACCAUUAGCUAGUUGGUGGGGUAAUGGCCUACCAAGGCGACGAUGGUUAGCUGGUCUGAGAGGAUGAUCAGCCACACUGGAACUGAGACACGGUCCAGACUCCUACGGGAGGCAGCAGUGGGGAAUUUUGCGCAAUGGGGGAAACCCUGACGCAGCAACGCCGCGUGGGUGAUGAAGGCCUUCGGGUCGUAAAGCUCUGUCUGGAGGGAAGAAAUGAUUGGGAGCUAAUACCUCUUGAUCUUGACGGUACCUCUGAAGGAAGCACCGGCUAACUCCGUGCCAGCAGCCGCGGUAAUACGGAGGGUGCAAGCGUUGUUCGGAAUUAUUGGGCGUAAAGCGCGUGUAGGCGGUCUUUUAAGUCUGAUGUGAAAGCCCCGGGCUCAACCUGGGAAGUGCAUUGGAAACUGGGAGGCUUGAGUACGGGAGAGGAGAGUGGAAUUCCUAGUGUAGGAGUGAAAUCCGUAGAUAUUAGGAGGAACACCGGUGGCGAAGCGGCUCUCUGGACCGAUACUAACGCUGAGACGCGAAAGCGUGGUAGCAAACAGGAUUAGAUACCCUGAUAGUCCACGCCGUAGACGAUGAGUACUAGGUGUUGCGGGUAUUGACCCCU
Molecule: ribosomal RNA, 820 nt
Filed under: uncultured Geobacter sp.
Lineage: Bacteria; Pseudomonadati; Thermodesulfobacteriota; Desulfuromonadia; Geobacterales; Geobacteraceae
Description: bacterial SSU rRNA
Rfam family: Bacterial small subunit ribosomal RNA
Source: RNAcentral